ACCCUUUCUACAAUUUUCUUUCUCUUCUCCCACUCUUCUUUCACUGAACAAGUUUGUUGAAGCCAUCGCUGGUGAAUGGCUGCUACCGCCACUUUAUCAUCGCCAUCACUUCUCUCUCCUUAUCUACUCGAUCUCUUCUCCCUCACCACCGGCGAACCCAUCGUCGGCUUUCUCCCUCCGUUCUCCUAUUUCCAAUCGUGAUUCUAGCCAGUGGAACCACCAAGAACCGCCACCAACGUUAUUUCCCACUCACUCCAUCGGUGAUGCCACCAUCAACGAACCCAACCAGCCGCCACUGCAAGCAGCCUUGCGAUCGGUGAGCCAACUAAAAGAGCCCCGAUGUACUUUUCUUUCUCUCCACAUCGCCGACCACCUACCAGCUGGUGAUUCCUGAGAACCAACACCACCACUGACGAACUAGUAGGCACUGUCAGAUUUAAACUUCACUGGAAAACAUUUCAAUUUAUGAUAGAUUCAUAAGAAUCCAUCCCAGGCUAGUUUUCUUAGUAUAAUUUUAUUUUCUACCUUGUAUUUUAAUUUUAUCUUUCAUUGGACAUGUCUGUGAUUUGAAAUUAGCAAAACUUAUGAGAGACUUUUGGUCUAAUUCCUUGUGAUUUGGGUUUGUUCUAAAUUG
This 634-nucleotide long non-coding RNA is filed under the name Capsicum annuum. RNAcentral's name for it is "long non-coding RNA (CANN_LNC017697)". The record is from RNAcentral. Lineage: Eukaryota; Viridiplantae; Streptophyta; Magnoliopsida; Solanales; Solanaceae.